UACGGAGGGGACUAGCGUUGUUCGGAAUUACUGGGCGUAAAGCGCACGUAGGCGGAUUUGUAAGUCAGAUGUGAAAGCCCCGGGCUCAACCUGGGAACUGCAUUUGAAACUGGCGGGCUUGAGUAUGGCAGAGGGGGGUGGAAUUCCGCGUGUAGCAGUGAAAUGCGUAGAGAUGCGGAGGAACACCGAUGGCGAAGGCAGCCCCCUGGGCCAAUACUGACGCUCAGGCACGAAAGCGUGGGGAGCAAACAGG
This 253-nucleotide ribosomal RNA is filed under the name uncultured bacterium. RNAcentral's name for it is "partial 16S ribosomal RNA". It matches the Rfam family "Bacterial small subunit ribosomal RNA", at positions 524 to 776 of the family's 1533-position model. The record is from RNAcentral.